This 254-nucleotide ribosomal RNA is filed under the name uncultured bacterium. Its description in RNAcentral is "partial 16S ribosomal RNA". It matches the Rfam family "Bacterial small subunit ribosomal RNA", at positions 524 to 776 of the family's 1533-position model. The record is from RNAcentral.
UACGGGGGGGGCAAGCGUUGUUCGGAAUUACUGGGCGUAAAGGGCUCGUAGGCGGCCAACUAAGUCGGAUGUGAAAUCCCCAAGCUUAACUUGGGAACUGCAUCCGAUACUGGAUGGCUUGAAUCCGGGAGAGGGAUGCAGAAUUCCAGGUGUAGCGGUGAAAUGCGUAGAUAUCUGGGGAAGAUACCGGUGGCGAAGGCGGCAUCCUGGACCGGCAUUGACGCUGAGGAGCGAAAGCUAGGGGAGCAAACGGG